CGUUGCUUUAUGCAGCCUAAUAAUGCUUCAGUAGUCUGAGAGAAGCGCUUUCGAGUGACUACGUAAUUAAUGUUUCAAUAGUCUGAGAGGAACGCCUUCGGGUGAUUAUAUUAUCUGCCAUACCUGAAAAGGCAGACAGCAAACACGCUGGGUAAUCCU
This 159-nucleotide small RNA is filed under the name Xenorhabdus koppenhoeferi. RNAcentral describes it as "STAXI RNA". It matches the Rfam family "STAXI RNA". Lineage: Bacteria; Pseudomonadati; Pseudomonadota; Gammaproteobacteria; Enterobacterales; Morganellaceae. The record is from Rfam by way of RNAcentral.